This 468-nucleotide ribosomal RNA is filed under the name uncultured bacterium. Its description in RNAcentral is "partial 16S ribosomal RNA". It matches the Rfam family "Bacterial small subunit ribosomal RNA", at positions 28 to 507 of the family's 1533-position model. The record is from RNAcentral.
GACGAACGCUGGCGGCGUGCUUAACACAUGCAAGUCGAACGGAAAGGCCCUGCUUUUGUGGGGUGCUCGAGUGGCGAACGGGUGAGUAACACGUGAGUAACCUGCCCUUGACUUUGGGAUAACUUCAGGAAACUGGGGCUAAUACCGGAUAGGAGCUCCUGCUGCAUGGUGGGGGUUGGAAAGUUUCGGCGGUUGGGGAUGGACUCGCGGCUUAUCAGCUGGUUGGUGGGGUAGUGGCUUACCAAGGCUUUGACGGGUAGCCGGCCUGAGAGGGUGACCGGCCACAUUGGGACUGAGAUACGGCCCAGACUCCUACGGGAGGCAGCAGUGGGGAAUAUUGCACAAUGGGCGGAAGCCUGAUGCAGCAACGCCGCGUGCGGGAUGACGGCCUUCGGGUUGUAAACCGCUUUCGCCUGUGACGAAGCGUGAGUGACGGUAAUGGGUAAAGAGGCACCGGCUAACUACGUG